Molecule: ribosomal RNA, 511 nt
Filed under: uncultured bacterium
Lineage: Bacteria
Description: partial 16S ribosomal RNA
Rfam family: Bacterial small subunit ribosomal RNA
Source: RNAcentral
GACGAACGCUGGCGGCGUGCCUAAUACAUGCAAGUCGAGCGAAUCAAUGGGAGCUUGCUCCCUGAGAUUAGCGGCGGACGGGUGAGUAACACGUGGGUAACCUGCCUGUAAGACUGGGAUAACUUCGGGAAACCGGAGCUAAUACCGGAUACGUUCUUUUCUCGCAUGAGAAGAGAUGGAAAGAUGGUUCUGCUAUCACUUACAGAUGGACCCGCGGCGCAUUAGCUAGUUGGUGAGGUAACGGCUCACCAAGGCGACGAUGCGUAGCCGACCUGCGAGGGUGGUCGGCCACACUGGGACUGAGACACGGCCCAGACUCCGACGGGAGGCAGCAGUAGGUAAUCUUCCGCAAUGGACGAGAGUCUGACGGAGCAACGCCGCGGGAGCGAAGAAGGCCUUCGGGUCGUAAAGCUCUGUUUUUAGGGAAGAACAAGUACGAGAGUAACUGCUCGUACCUUGACGGUACCUAACCAGAAAGCCACGGCUAACUACGUGCCAGCAGCCGCCGUAA